This 419-nucleotide unclassified non-coding RNA is filed under the name Hevea brasiliensis (rubber tree). The record is from RNAcentral. Lineage: Eukaryota; Viridiplantae; Streptophyta; Magnoliopsida; Malpighiales; Euphorbiaceae.
AAGAGAAACAGGGAUCCUUUUGUGCAUGCAAUUAUUGCCAUAUCACACAUAUAAUCUCCCAAUUUUCAUGUAGCUUAAUUGUAAUGAACAAUCUCCAAUGUUGUUAGUAAGUGUAUUAGCUGUAUGGCGCAUUGAAGCAAUUCCCUAUUUAGAAGGCGCGAGGUACCUCUAUGCAUAUGCCCCGCUCCCCUCUUUUUCCCAAUAAUACGAAUGUUGUUGGGAGCACACAGCCUUAUAAUGGCCACUUCUGCAUUGCCAGUUUUCCAGAUUGAUUAUACCUUCUGCCAUUUACAUGAAUUGCAACAGCUUUUGCUUUACACUGUCCCCAUCUUCAUUUUCAAUUUUUAUAUCAAUGUAAUUAUCGUCUUUUUCACUUGCAAUUUUAUCUUUAUCAAUAAAAUAAGAAAAUUAAAAAAAAA